This 429-nucleotide ribosomal RNA is filed under the name uncultured Pseudomonas sp. Its description in RNAcentral is "bacterial SSU rRNA". It matches the Rfam family "Bacterial small subunit ribosomal RNA", at positions 355 to 774 of the family's 1533-position model. Lineage: Bacteria; Pseudomonadati; Pseudomonadota; Gammaproteobacteria; Pseudomonadales; Pseudomonadaceae. The record is from RNAcentral.
UGGGGAAUAUUGGACAAUGGGCGAAAGCCUGAUCCAGCCAUGCCGCGUGUGUGAAGAAGGUCUUCGGAUUGUAAAGCACUUUAAGUUGGGAGGGAAGGGCAGUAAGCUAAUACCUUGCUGUUUUGACGUUACCGACAGAAUAAGCACCGGCUAACUCUGUGCCAGCAGCCGCGGUAAUACAGAGGGUACAAGCGUUAAUCGGAAUUACUGGGCGUAAAGCGCGCGUAGGUGGUUUGUUAAGUUGGAUGUGAAAGCCCCGGGCUCAACCUGGGAACUGCAUCCAAAACUGGCAAGCUAGAGUACGGUAGAGGGUGGUGGAAUUUCCUGUGUAGCGGUGAAAUGCGUAGAUAUAGGAAGGAACACCAGUGGCGAAGGCGACCACCUGGACUGAUACUGACACUGAGGUGCGAAAGCGUGGGGGAGCAAACA